UAGAGUUUGAUCCUGGCUCAGAAUGACCGUUGGCGGCGUGCCUAACACAUGCAAGUCGAGCGAGAAAGUCUCUUCGGAGAUAAGUACAGCGGCGGACGGGUGAGUAACGCGUGAGAAUUUACCCUUUAGUGAAGAAUACCUCUGAGAAAUCAGGGUUAAUACUGCAUACGUCCCUACGGGGAGAAAGGUGGCCUCUUUGCUGCCGCUAAAGGAUAAGCUUGCGUACUAUUAGCUAGUUGGUGAGGUAAAGGCUCACCAAGGCGAUGAUGGUUAGCCGGCCUGAGAGGGUGUACGGCCACACUGGAACUUAGACACGGUCCAGACUCCUACGGGAGGCAGCAGUGAGGAAUAUUGCGCAAUGGGCGAAAGCCUGACGCAGCGACGCCGCGUGGAGGAUGAAGGUCUUCGGAUUGUAAACUCCUGUUAAGUGGGAAGAAAGACCUAUUUCUAAUACAGAUAGGGGAUGACGGUACCAUUAGAGAAAGCACCGGCUAACUUCGUGCCAGCAGCCGCGGUAAUA
Molecule: ribosomal RNA, 520 nt
Filed under: uncultured bacterium
Lineage: Bacteria
Description: bacterial SSU rRNA
Rfam family: Bacterial small subunit ribosomal RNA
Source: RNAcentral